This 352-nucleotide ribosomal RNA is filed under the name Sordariomycetes sp. PG1. Its description in RNAcentral is "eukaryotic LSU rRNA". The stretch from base 1 to 125 matches the Rfam family "5.8S ribosomal RNA", at positions 30 to 154 of the family's 154-position model. The record is from RNAcentral. Lineage: Eukaryota; Fungi; Ascomycota; Sordariomycetes.
GCAUCGAUGAAGAACGCAGCCGAUUGCGAUAAGUUUUGGUGAUUGCAGAAUUCAGUGAAUCAUCGAAUCUUUGAACGCACAUUGCGCCCCUCGGUAUUCCGAGGGGCAUGCCUGUUCGAGCGUCAUUUCAACCCUCAAGCCUCCGGGCUUGGUGUUGGGACUCGCGUUAAUUCUUCUGGGCGGUGGCGUUCCCCAAAUUGAUUGGCGGUCACGUCCAGCUUCCAUAGCGUAGUAUUAAAACCCUCGUUACUGGUAAUCGUCGCGGCCACGCCGUUAAACCCCAACUUCUGAAUGUUGACCUCGGAUCAGGUAGGAAUACCCGCUGAACUUAAGCAUAUCAAUAAGCGGAGGA